UGUGAUCAAAUUUCUAAGAGCAAACGGUGGAUGCCUUGGCAUCUGGAGCCGAAGAAGGACGUAGUAAUCUGCGAUAAGCCUCGGGGAGCCGAUAAACGGGCUUUGAUCCGAGGAUUUCCGAAUGGGGAAACCCGGCUGGACUUGAUCCAGUCACUCCCGCCUGAAUAUAUAGGGCGGGUAGAGGGAACGCGGGGAAGUGAAACAUCUCAGUACCCGCAGGAAGAGAAAACAACCGUGAUUCCGUUAGUAGUGGCGAGCGAACGCGGAAGAGGCUAAACCGGUCGUGUGUGAUACCUGGUAGGGGUUGCACGGUCGGGGUUGUGGGACUUUUCUGUCGCGCUACCGAGCGACAAGCGUUACAGCGCAGCGUAGACGAAUCGCUUUGAAUGGCGAACCAUAGGGGGUGCGAGUCCCGUAGUUGAAACGUUGUUAUGGCGCGAAGAGUAUCCCAAGUAGCACGGAGCCCGUGAAACUCUGUGUGAAUCUGUCGGGACCACCCGAUAAGCCUAAAUACUCCCAGAUGACCGAUAGCGGACUAGUACCGUGAGGGAAAGGUGAAAAGUACCCCGGGAGGGGAGUGAAAUAGUACCUGAAACCGUUUGCUUACAAUCCGUCGGAGCCUUUCGGGGUGACGGCGUGCCUUUUGAAGAAUGAGCCUGCGAGUUAGUGAUAUGUGGCGAGGUUAACCCGUGUGGGGAAGCCGUAGCGAAAGCGAGUCUGAAUAGGGCGUUGAGUCGCAUGUCCUAGACCCGAAGCGAAGUGAUCUAUCCAUGGCCAGGUUGAAGCGAGGGUAAGACCUCGUGGAGGACCGAACCCACCUAGGUUGAAAACUGGGGGGAUGAGCUGUGGUUAGGGGUGAAAGGCCAAUCAAACUUCGUGAUAGCUGGUUCUCUCCGAAAUGCAUUUAGGUGCAGCGUUGCGUGUUUCUUGCCGGAGGUAGAGCUACUGGAUGGCCGAUGGGCCUCAACAGGUUACUGACGUCAGCCAAACUCCGAAUGCCGGUAAGUGAGAGCGCAGCAGUGAGACUGUGGGGGAUAAGCUUCAUAGUCGAGAGGGAAACAACCCAGACCACCAAUUAAGGUCCCUAAGCGUGUGCUAAGUGGAAAAGGAUGUGGAGUUGCAGUGACAACCAGGAGGUUGGCUUAGAAGCAGCCACCCUUGAAAGAGUGCGUAAUAGCUCACUGGUCAAGUGAUUCCGCGCCGACAAUGUAACGGGGCUCAAGCACACCACCGAAAUUGUGGAAUUCCUUUUUGGGAUUGGUAGGAGAGCGUCGUGUGGCGAGUGAAGCGGCGGUGGAAACCAGUCGUGGAUGCUACACGAGUGAGAAUGCAGGCAUGAGUAGCGAAAGACUGGUGAGAAACCAGUCCUCCGGAAGACCAAGGGUUCCAGGGUCAAGCUAAUCUUCCCUGGGUAAGUCGGGACCUAAGGCGAGGCCGACAGGCGUAGUCGAUGGACAACGGGUUGAUAUUCCCGUACCGGCGAAGAACCGUCCAAUCUGACCCAGUGAUGCUAAGAGCCCGAAUCCGGCUCCGUUCCUUCGGGAGCGUUGUCGGGCUAGCGUUCGAACCUAUGCUGGUGAGGGUAGCGUGUUAACAGGUGUGACGCAGAAAGGUAGCCAAUCCGGGUGAAUGGUUGUAUCCGGGCAAGGAUGUAGGGCGAGUGAUAGGCAAAUCCGUCACUCAUAUAGCCUGAGAUCUGACGCGGAAGUCCCUUUGGGACGUAGUUGGUGAUCCUCUGCUGCCAAGAAAAGCAUCGACGCGAGGUUCUAGCUGCCCGUACCCCAAACCGACACAGGUGGUCAGGUAGAGAAUACCAAGGAGAUCGAGAGAAUCGUGGUGAAGGAACUCGGCAAAAUGCCCCCGUAACUUCGGGAGAAGGGGGGCCCAGCGCGUAUAGGACUUGCUCCGAAAGCGUGUGUGGGCCGCAGAGACUAGUGGGACGCGACUGUUUAUCAAAAACACAGGUCCGUGCGAAGUUGCAAGACGAUGUAUACGGACUGACGCCUGCCCGGUGCUGGAAGGUUAAGAGGAAGUGUUAGCUUUGGCAAAGCACAGAAUUUAAGCCCCAGUAAACGGCGGUGGUAACUAUAACCAUCCUAAGGUAGCGAAAUUCCUUGUCGGGUAAGUUCCGACCUGCACGAAUGGCGUAACGACUUCCCAGCUGUCUCCACCGCGAACUCGGCGAAAUUGCAUUACGAGUAAAGAUGCUCGUUACGCGCAGCAGGACGAAAAGACCCCGUGACCUUUACUAUAGCUUGGUAUUGGUGAUUGGUGUGGCUUGUGUAGGAUAGGUGGGAGACUGUGAAGCUGGCACGCUAGUGUUGGUGGAGUCGUUGUUGAAAUACCACUCUGGUCAUUCUGAUUAUCUAACUUCGAACCGUGAUCCGGUUCAGGAACAGUGCCUGGUGGGUAGUUUAACUGGGGCGGUUGCCUCCUAAAGAGUAACGGAGGCGCCCAAAGGUUCCCUCAGUCUGGUUGGCAAUCAGAUUUUGAGUGUAAGUGCACAAGGGAGCUUGACUGUGACACUGACAGGUGGAGCAGGGACGAAAGUCGGGACUAGUGAUCCGGCAGUGGCUUGUGGAAGCGCUGUCGCUCAACGGAUAAAAGGUACCUCGGGGAUAACAGGCUGAUCUUGCCCAAGAGUCCAUAUCGACGGCAUGGUUUGGCACCUCGAUGUCGGCUCGUCGCAUCCUGGGGCUGGAGUAGGUCCCAAGGGUUGGGCUGUUCGCCCAUUAAAGCGGUACGCGAGCUGGGUUCAGAACGUCGUGAGACAGUUCGGUCUCUAUCCGCUGCGCGCGUUGGAAGUUUGAGAAGAUCUAUCCUUAGUACGAGAGGACCGGGAUGGACGAACCUCUGGUGUGUCAGUUGUUCUGCCAAGGGCACGGCUGAUUGGCUACGUUCGGAACGGAUAACCGCUGAAAGCAUCUAAGCGGGAAGCCGGCUUCAAGAUGAGACUUCCGUCCCCUUUUUGGGGGUGAGGCUCCCAGUAGAUGACUGGGUUGAUAGGCCGGAUGUGGAAGCGCAGUAAUGUGUGGAGCUGACCGGUACUAAUAUGCCGAUGAUUUGAUUAC
RNAcentral lists this ribosomal RNA (3071 nucleotides) under Gulosibacter macacae. RNAcentral describes it as "Zimmermannella sp. YIM 102482-1 23S ribosomal RNA". It matches the Rfam family "Bacterial large subunit ribosomal RNA". Lineage: Bacteria; Bacillati; Actinomycetota; Actinomycetes; Micrococcales; Microbacteriaceae. The record is from RNAcentral.